Molecule: ribosomal RNA, 253 nt
Filed under: uncultured bacterium
Lineage: Bacteria
Description: partial 16S ribosomal RNA
Rfam family: Bacterial small subunit ribosomal RNA
Source: RNAcentral
UACGUAGGGUGCGAGCGUUAAUCGGAAUUACUGGGCGUAAAGUGUGCGCAGGCGGCCGCGCAAGUCGAGUGUGAAAGCCCCGAGCUUAACUUGGGAAUUGCGCUCGAAACUACGUGGCUGGAGUGUGGCAGAGGAAGGUGGAAUUCCAGGUGUAGCGGUGAAAUGCGCAGAUAUCAGGAAGAACACCCGUGGCGAAGGCGGCUCUCUGGGACGGUACUGACGCUGAGACGCGAAAGCGUGGGGAGCGAACAGG